Dipodomys ordii (Ord's kangaroo rat) is the source of this 65-nucleotide non-coding RNA. Lineage: Eukaryota; Metazoa; Chordata; Mammalia; Rodentia; Heteromyidae. The record is from Rfam.
GGUGGCUUAGUGGUAGAGUGUUUGCCUAGCAUGCAUGAAGUCCUGGGUUCGAUUCCCCAGUACCA